GAAACAUACAUAUAUUUAUUAAAUAUUUCCGAACAUAAUUUACGCUCAUCUUCAAAGUUACAAAGUGGAAUUGAAUCAUACUGGAUGAAUUCGGCUGUACAGCACGAUAACCCUUAGCUCCUUGAGAUAGAAGCAUUGCUGCUUGACCAAAUG
This is a long non-coding RNA of Hibiscus syriacus, 153 nucleotides long. RefSeq lists it as uncharacterized. The record is from RefSeq and is a predicted model, not a curated record. NCBI's taxonomy places the organism in Eukaryota, Viridiplantae, Streptophyta, Magnoliopsida, Malvales, Malvaceae. The transcript is spliced from 3 exons.